UUUUUUUCUUUUUUUUUUGUUUUUUGAGAUGCUUAUGGUUUGCAAUCCGGCUGUGAUAAUCAAAAUCAUCACUUCCGAUCUCGAUCUAACGGAUUGCAAAACCGGUGGUGAUGACGGUUACAGGGCCGACAGUGAUAGCCCAAUCUGUAGUAAUGUUUUAGGCCAUAUUAUACUGCUAUAACUUUUAUGAAAUAAUUGAUGUGAUCGCUUAGAUUUCAGGCUAUAUCUAUUGGACUUGUGUUUGUUCCCGUUGCAACGCAUGGGCAUAUUUGCUAGUAGAUAUAUAAAUUGUCAUCAACCUGCACAGAAAUACAGAUCAGAGAAAUUUAACCCUGCCCGUUCAUGCUUGGAUGCGCAACCUGCACAUAAAAUUUGUGUGUUUUUUUUAUAAAAAAUUUUAGUACUUGGUUCAUCGCUUGACAUUUGAAAGUGACAAUCAAGGCGAGAAAAAAAGAUCCACCAGUAAUUCACAGGUGCACCACAACAGGAGGCAUGUCACGAUUUUGUUAAACUGAAUUUCUGUUUUGAUAGGUAAAAAUACAGCAAAUUUAGAUUUCCCUAAUUAUAAAUUCCAUUUUAUAUUUGUCUCCAAUGAGUAAAUCAAAUACGGACACGGAAUAUUCCGUUUCGUGCUGGGGUGGGGUACUGGCCCCAUCAUCCUCGGCAUCCACUGCAGCACCCUGCUUGGCGCCACACAACGUACACUGGCGCCGAUACGCUCAUACGCACGCCACCUCCUCCUCCCUCCUCCCAUGGCGACGGUCGCCACGCACUCCGGCUCCCCUCCGCCGCCGCCUCCUCGCCUAUACCGCCGCCACCGCGCGGCCUUCCCUGCCGGAGCCCGGCGGUCCGCCGCCGCUGCACGCGGUCGCAUUAGGAGGUUAGUUAUUUUUUUUUCCUGGAGCUUCUUUUAGCCGGAUCAGAGUCUGAACUCUAGCUGUUCUGUAGAUUCAUGAAAUUUCUUGCAAAUUUGAGCAAAUUAUGAUAUUUGAGUAACCGCCUCGAUGGAUUUAGGGCUGGCUUUAGGUGAAACUGUUAGCUGCAAUGCGAUUGUUACAUUAAAUAUUCUGUGUUUCUUGCAAGCAUAUACAGUUCGCGCAACUUAUCCUGCUUGGUCUCUGGGACUGCAAAGGCAUCAGUGUCCGGGGCAGAAACUUCUUCAGGUGGGGAAGAUGUAAAUGAGAUUAUUGGUAAAGUGGAAGCAGUAGAAUCUACCACCCCGGGUGCUUCAUUCCUUGCAAAAGUGGCAAUUGCUAUCGGUAUUGCGGCCACGGUCACUGUAAUUUCACUAGUCAGGAAGCAGCCUUCAUCAGGCCCAUCUUUCAGUCUGCCACAAAUAGUUGAUGCCUCCACGCAGUCUGAUGCAGCAGCAGCAACCCUUGGAUAUUCAUUUUCUGCAUUUGGGAAGAAAGUCAUACUUCCAGAGUACACACCAGGGUAUGUGAAUUUGGCUAUCUGCAUGUUAUCAUUCUGCUUUUCAUGCUUCUAUUUUUUUCAUGACAACUUUUAGAUACACUUCACUGAUGGGACUGCCAAAUUAAGUCAAUAAAUGUUCCUCCUUGGAGAGCUUUUAACCACAGGUCAUCAAAUUAUAUCAGCAAUAAUAUGUCAAUUGCAUUUGCUACCAAAUGCUAAACAACGUGCACAGCCUCUAGGGGAAAGUUUCUCUGAAAAAAAUAAAUUUUCAAGUCUAUCCAUGGUAUCAUGCUAACUGAGGAUUGUUGAAAGUUCACGGACCACAUAGGCUGAUUUCAAAAAAUAAAUGCAAAUAUGUGAUCUAUUUGGUACCUGUAAUGGAAGCCUACCUGUAACUUUUUUGCUCCAUUUUUCUAAUAUACUGUCUUGCUGAAAUUCUUCAGGUGGGUCUACUUUUGUUUGCUCAUGGCUGCUGGAUUUGGACUACUUAUCAGUGAAGAAGCUUUAAAUGUUUGGGUCUGUCCUUUGCACUGGUACCUUCAAUAUGACCACUCUCAACUCAACUAAGUUUCUAGCUUUAUUUUCCACAAGUAGUCAGACUUCAAACACAAUUUUAUAUAUAAGCAUUCAUCAACCAUUUAUUUGUGUUGAGAAGCAUUUUUCCCUUCAUGAUGUAGGCUGGAAUUUCUUUAUCACGUACACUUUCAUUGGAUGGAACCUGGCAAUCUCUCGUUAACUCGUUCUCGGCGAAUGCACCUUAUAUAGUUUCUACAGUGCUAUGGAUUUACUGGUUCGUGCUCGUGCAUCCUCUGUCCAUGAUCUGUAGACAGUUGUUCCUCUGUUAGUGAGUAGUGAAUGCUACUAGUUAAAUUUUUUAACUUUUUCAUUCACGUAGGGGUGUUUGUCUCAGCGAUAUGAUCCCGUUCUUUCUGGGGAAGCUUUUUAGACAAACUAAAGCAUCUGAAGGCAUAAGCAGCAAGGUGCGAAGAAGGGAUUUGUCUCACUUUAUAAUACACUUGUUAGUUCCUCAGUUUUAUAUUAUAAAUAUCAUUUUUUUGGCAAAACUAUGACAUGAAGUAUUGCUACCUUACUGAUAUCUAAUCACAGUUGUCCUUUUAGAUUGGAAUUGGCAAGGACAAAGCACUAAGCAUAUCACGAGCAGUCCAAAAGUACGGGAACCUAAUUGGCUUUGGUAUACAUCUGAACCUUCGCAUAAGUUUUGCAAAGCAUUUGUAGCCCUGAGUGAAAGAAAAUGGGAAACUCUGUAGAGCAUUGGCAUUGCAUAUGCACUCAACACUGAUGUUCUAAAGACAAACUAGAUGGUUAAAUUUGCUUGUCACUUAAAUUGAUGAUGACUAUGAUGUUUGCUGCAGUUGAGAGAUUUUCGAUUGGCGUACGGAAUAUCACAGCAUUUCUAGCUGGCGCAUUGGUCAGUGAACUUUUUUUUAAAAAAAAUUCUACGACUUAACAGAUAUUGGAGCACAUAUUGCACACAAAUGAUUUGCCAAUGACAUUCUUUGGCCAUUAUAAACAGGGUAUACCAGCAGACUGUUACUUCGCCGGAGUUUGUUUCGGGUGCCUGUUUACUCUUCCUAUUCAGGUAAACCGACCUUCAGAUCAUGGCAAUCUUGUUUUUGUUCUUCCUUUGCAGCUUAUAAGUCGGGCUUAGCUAGUACUCCCUCAGUCCCAAAUUGUAGGUCAUUUUGCCAAAUCUAGAUUCAUAACUAGUAUAUAUCUAGAUAUAGUGUAUAUCUAGAUGCAUAGCAAAAAUUAUGGAUCUAGAAAUGUCAAAACGAAGAACGGAGGGAGUACUAACAUUAACAAGAACCUGUUGACUUUUGUUCUGUGACAAAACAACUGGCGCUUUCAUGCAGUUAGCACUUGGGUUUGUCCUCCGUGAAAGGCCUGUCAUCGCUCUGGCAAGCGUCGCAGCUGCCGUGGUACCUACCUCUCUGUCUUCCCCGCCCUUUCCAGAACUUCUCUCUCCCCCCUGUUUUCUGAUCAGGCCAUGCUUGCUCUGCAAUGCAACCAGGGCGUCUGCACGGCGUUCCCUUACGCAGCCGCGGCGUGCACGGCUCUCUUCUUCUACCUCCGCCGGCCCGACUCCAGCAGCUGAGACUGAGAACGUGCUGAUCCUUUUCGUGGCGGAUCGGCAACUCCCGGCUCCGUGCCUUUUUUUUCACUACCCCUGUGCCAUCUAGCUGACGGGACAUUCCUGUUUUUUUUGGGUACUUAGACAGUUGCACUGCAUCUUCUUUGUAAAUUUUGUAAUGGUUGAUCAAUCAAUGUAAACAUUUCUCCUUUUACUUCUUUCUGAAGUUCUCCAUCCGUCCCAAAUUAUACGUCGUUUUAGAUUUUCUAAAUAUUAUCAUGCAUCUAGAUAUAUGGUAUAUCUAGAUGCAUAACAAAAUCUAUGAAUGUAAAAAAGACUAAAACGACCUAUAAUUUGAAAUGGAAGGAAUACUUAAUUUUGCGUGCUAACUCGUUAAGAACUAUGAAAUGUAAAUUCAAAAUGGCACCCGUCCUCAUUUUAUCCUCAAGGACAAGACACUGGACACCAUUUUUUUUUAGCUCAGUAAAUUGUCCAACCUAGUGGUGGUACGUUGCAAGAUCUCAUUUGCAAGGCAAGAAUUUUCUCGACUUUUACAUGAAUCAGAAUUGAAAUGUCUUCAGGAAAACCCUUGUGAAAUCCCUGCGCUUGUGAAUUCUCUCCAACUCGCCUAAUUUUUGCCCAAAGCCAACUCCUCGAUCUUUCGAUCCAGGCCCCGCAUCGCACACCACACACCACUCCACUCCCCACCUCGCCUCCGGCGAUGGCCGGCCGCGUCCCGGGCGCCGCCGCGUCCUCGCCCCUCCCCCGCGCGCUCCUCCUGCUCGCCGCGCUCGGGCUCUUCACCCUAUCCUUCCUCUCCCUCCGCUCGCUCCGCCCCGCCGCGGGCCCCUCGCUCGCCACCGCCACGGCCUCCUCGCUCGCCGCCGCCGCCGCCGACAAGCCCCGCCCUGGCCUCCCGCUCCGGACCUCCUCGUCGGUGUACCACUCCCCCGAUGCGUUCGCGGCGGGGUACGCGGAGAUGGAGCGGAGCUUCAAGGUGUACAUCUACCCGGACGGCGACCCCAAGACGUUCUACCAGACGCCGCGGAAGCUCACGGGCAAGUACGCCAGCGAGGGGUACUUUUUCCAGAACAUCCGCGAGAGCCGCUUCCGCACCGACGACCCCGACGAGGCGCACCUCUUCUUCGUGCCCAUCUCGCCCCACAAGAUGCGCGGCAAGGUCGAUCACCUCCCUCCCUCUCUCUUCAGUCCCUUGGAACUCUAUUGUUCGUUUCAUCGCGCUGUACAACAGUAAUAAUGCUAUUAGUUGUUGGAGGCAUUGGGUUAAUGUUGAACUGUUCUUAUCAUGUCCAAAACCACUUUGUGGUUUGUGGCCCAUGUCAAGGUUGGCAAAUGCUAAAUUUCGCCUCAUAGGAGUAGGGUUAUUUCGUUAUCUAUAAAGAGGAGUAGGGUUAUUCUGAAUUUUGUAGCUGAAUGUGGAGUGUAGUUAAGAUCACCUUGAUUGAACUAUGAUACUGCUGCUAAAGUUUGGACUAUCAGUGCUUUGUUUAUCUGUAUGAAUGUACAAUGUGAUUACAUACCUGAAAUCUGUAUGUUGGUUCAGUUUGCACUUGUAAUGGGUUCUUGGAGUAUUGUUGAUUAAUGUGUUCCUAUGCUGCAGGCCUGCAGCAGCAAAAGUUAGUAAUGUGUUCUGGAUCAAUGUGCUUACUAUUUACAUUUUUUUUAAAAAAAAAUCUGGUCUUGAUUCAAGGCCUUGGUAUUUACUUAGGUGUGUUGUUUUUGGCCUUUGCAGGGUACAUCAUAUGAGAAUAUGACGGUGAUAGUUAAGGACUAUGUAGAAGGAUUGAUAAACAAGUAUCCUUACUGGAACAGGACACUAGGCGCAGACCACUUCUUUGUCACCUGCCAUGAUGUAGGUGUUAGAGCAUUUGAAGGACUUCCAUUCAUGGUGAAAAACUCUAUUAGAGUUGUAUGUUCGCCGAGCUAUAAUGUUGACUUUAUACCGCACAAGGAUAUUGCUCUUCCUCAAGUACUACAACCAUUUGCUCUACCUGAAGGAGGAAAUGAUAUUGAGAACAGGUUAAUGUUUGUUCAUACAAAUACCAUGAAAACUUGCUAUUAUGUUUCCGUACGAUACUUGUGCUUAUAUGGUCAUGCAAAGUGAAAAUUCUGAUUCAGAUGAAAAGCUAUGUGGAAUGCACCCAGUUGUCUCCUUAUUCAUGCAUUGAAGUGUAUAUAGGUUCACACUAUCCAUUGCUACGAUCUAGUGCAAAGAAACACUUUCGUUGUAACAAAACUGAAAGUAGCGCACAACCAUGCACUGGCCAAGGGCUUUAGUUCUUUGCAAAAAAAAAUUAAUUCAAAAUAUAAUGCUUGCCUGUAGAUUUAAUGUUGGUUUCUCUUCUUUUUCCUAUUAACCUUUCAUCUCUUUAUUAUUUAUGGGUAAACAUUCACACCACUGUUCUCUGGCAUAUUCCUAAGACUAGCACCAUUGCUGCUUGCUUCUAUUGUUCUCAGUUUCACUAACUCCUCAAUUCCCAUGUCCAAUCAAUCUCAUAAAAAGAAGGUUAGUUGGAUUCAUGCCAUUACAAUUUUCAAGAAUUGGAAAUUUGCCAUCGGUUGUGUCACUGACAGGUGGGGGCCACCUCAGUCACUGACAAUGGCAUUAUUCAAAUAUUUGAAAAUUGUAAUGGCAUGCAUGGAAUUAUUCCUAAAAAGAAACAGAGGGAGUACAUUGUACAAAUCUAGCUGCACUAUUGCUCUAUUACAAAAUUUGCAUCUUAGAACUGAUUUUGCAAUUGAACAGGACAAUUCUUGGAUUUUGGGCUGGUCAUCGCAAUUCCAAAAUAAGAGUUAUUUUGGCACGAUUCUGGGAGAACGACACAGAGCUUGCUAUCAGCAACAAUCGGAUUAGUAGAGCUAUCGGGGAGCUAGUUUAUCAGAAGCAGUUUUACCGUACUAAGUUCUGUAUCUGUCCUGGUGGCUCUCAAGUUAACAGUGCUCGUAUAUCUGACUCAAUACACUAUGGUUGUGUUCCUGGUUAGUAUUUCUACUAAUUGACAUGUAAAAUACAUCACUGUUAUAUCUAUUUCAUUUUCAUGGGAAUACAAUUAUUUUAGUACUUGCCUGAUGAUUUUGUUCUAAUACAUAUUCUUCUGUCCUUUUAGUUAUUUUGUCAGACUAUUAUGACUUGCCUUUCAAUGAUGCCCUUGACUGGAGAAAGUUUGCGGUUGUACUUAGGGAGAGAGACGUGUAUCAACUAAAGAGUAUUCUGAAAUCUAUAUCACAGGAGGAGUUCGUUUCAUUGCACAAAUCUCUGGUCCAGGUUUGUUGAUUCUGAACAAUUGCUAACUCUUACUUUCUUCUUUGCAUUCACUGUCCUACAAAAGAGUAUUUGGGAUUUUCUUUAUUAAAUUUUGGUGUGAUAGAAAAAACGAUCUAUUGGGUGGCAAGAUAGCAAAUUAUUUGUCAGUAGAAAAUUAGCUACUCUGGGGUUUAUUUGUGUGAGAGCUCCGAGUCAAUUUGAGACAACUAGAAAGUAGAAACCUAACUAAAUUCUCGUUUAGUGCUGUGCUAACUGCUUAAGUUGGAUUACAGGUGCAGAAACACUUUGUGUGGCAUUCACCUCCUCUCUCAUAUGAUGCAUUCCACAUGGUUAUGUACGAACUGUGGUUGCGGCAUAAUGUGAUCAAGUACUGAAGCCUACAUUAGUGAGUUUUGAUUGCUAACCCAAACGACUGAUCCAUCAGAAAGAUACUGCCAAGUCUGACAGCCUGCUGGUGCUACCUUGAAUGCGGCCCAUUUGUUCUUUUUCUCUUAGAAUCUCCAGCUGGAUGAAUCAUUGAAUAUAAUGAGUAGCUAGUUAGCUACGCAUGUUGCAAUGGAGAGCAUCUGCAUGAAAGUAGGCCAGACUCCCAGUUAAUAGAUGGAUGAGUUAAUUCUUUCAACGAUAGUUGGUUUCCACAUAUUGCAAUCCUUUUCCUCUAGUUAUUUUUGUAUUUCAUAGAUCUGAUCUGCCUGGUUGAUCACAUGUGGUUUCUCAUACAAUUUUUGUGUUCAGUCUUGUAAGUAAUGUACAAUAUUAUUGAUGAUAUCAGAAUUUAUUCUAAUCUGACAGAACAGAUAGCUGUGAGUUGUGUCUGAAGAAAAGUCUGGUUCUAUGGCCCGUUUUUUGAAUUAGAGUAUUUUCAGUUAAACUCAUUGGUACUUGGUAGAUUUGAACCUUGGGGUACAAGCUGGAGGCACAUACAAAUAUUUUAGUUUAAGGGGUGAACUGCGAAGGUGUGCCACCAUAGUUUUGCCUAAUUCUAGCACUAGCCAAUUUCUUGGACCCUAUAUGCAGGAUGAUUAUCCAUGUAAUGUUGCAAAGGCCAUGUCCACCCGAGACCAAUGACUUGUAAAAUAUUGGAGUUCCAUCAGGUCAUCACAAUCACAUUAUAGAAAGAACAUAUGAAUCUGCAGUUUUGCAUCGGUAAUUCAGUAUGCAAGAUGCCUAUGCUAAACUUUAGGUAUUGCUAGUAAUGGAGAAUUGCAGACAUAGCUAUUAUUACAGAUUAUAAUAUUGCAAUAACGGUUCAAAAUAAGCAGACAGCCAUAGCUUCCCAGGUGAACCAUUGUAAGUCUUUCAUACAACAUGGACUUGUCAGUAGUAAAUUAUUGAUGUUUCCUUGUUGAGUGCACAAACAUGAAACAUAUCAUCACGGAACUCAACAUUUCUUUCAUACAGAGGUGGUAUUUGCGCAAUGAUGCAGUAUCAGCUGGCAUGAUACCAUAUCACUUUCAGCAGUAGCACCACGUGAUCACUUCAUAAGGAUGCACCUGAUUGGUGAGCCAUCACAUCCGAUCAGUCUGAGAGGUAAGCAGUGCAACAUGUAUAUUCCAGCCUUUACAUGAUCUAGUUUCAGACCUUCUAUUGGGAUCAUGUCCUGAGAGAAACAAAGCAAUCAAUGAUUCAAAUGCAUAAAGUUGUUAGAUGACACAGUCCAUUCCUAUGCAUGAUGUAAAAUGUACUUUGGAGAAGCAGAAAGGUAAAAGUAAGCAAGGAUAAUCCCAAAAGGGUUAGUUGACAUGGAAUUUAGAGCCAAUACUUAGCUAAGCUUGUCAACUUCAAUAAUGUAAUGGCAUGUUUUUGAGUUACAUAGAAUGAUGUGAUUGGCAUGGAAGUAUUAUAGAAUUCUUACCGGUCUAUUUAAAAAGACCAAAUGGGCUGGAAUCAAGUAAUCAAAUGCUGCAAAUGAUAGAUAGUCAACCCCUGCAUAAUUGCCAUAUCAGUAAGUUGAUUAUAUUUAUUGAUUCACCAAAUAACAAAGACCAAACAAAAAACAAAUUAUCCACAAUUACAAGCUCCAAGAAAACAAUUUGUUGAGCCCUCAACUCUAGAUCAAGAUUAGAAAAAAGUUACAAACACAUGGCUAUCAGCACAUAAGAGACACCAAGACCCAUUCAGAGUAUUACUGAUGAUCUGAUAGUGCAGUACAUAUGUGCUGUUAGGGGAAUAAUUUCUUACCGACUAGCUUGAUGUCAGUGUUAUCAAGUAGCCACUGUGCACCAUCCUCUGUAAACCCAACAAAACUCGUGUCAAUUUCCUUCGUCCACAUCAGCUUCCUGGAAACCAUUCAGUUCUACUUUCAGUUGUCAACAAAAUAGCUGUAUAAUGAUAGCUGAAUGUUGAAAAAUUUUGUCCUGGAAAAAGAGUAGACCUGUCUGUGUUCAGUGUCCUGAAGAGAACCCGACGAACUCCUUUGGGGAUAUUUAGGGAUUCCAUUGCUUGGGCUGUGUCCAGUAAGUGAGAUUACUAUGUUUUCCCAUGAUCCCUUGAAAUCCCAAAAGAAAUGACCACUUGCUACUAAAUGCUGGUAAUGAUGGCCUGUUCACUUCAGCUUAUUCAGCCGGCUUAUCAGCCACCAAAUAGUAUUUUUCUCUCACAACAAAUCAGUCGUUUCAGCUUUUCAGCCGGCUUAUAAGCUGAAGCGAACAGGCCGAUGUCUGAAUCUCUAUUAGUUUAUAAUUAAUAUAGGAGCAAGAGUUGGGAAUAAGUUCAUUUGACAUACGAGCUAGUUUGAUGAUAUACUGUAAUGCAUGAUACCUGUUAUAUUUGUGUCUCUUGGAACAUCAAUGAGCAAUGCAGGCCCUGUCCAGAAAAGGAAAAUCACGCACUGUCAAAUCAUUCUUUUGCGAGAACCACAUAGAUUUUAAUCAAUUCUUACAUGCAGAAUGCUGUGCAUUUUAGAUCUGUUCAGAAUGCAGAAAUUUCCUGUGAUCAGAUAGCUGUAUUUAUCGAUUCCUAUAAAAUUCAUGUGAUAUUCCUGCUUUCUGUAUGGGGCAGAAACAACUGAAGAACAGUAGUUUAACCUGACAAUAUGACCUACAGUUAAAAAACGUCCAAGUUCUUUUUAGGGGGGGAAAAGAGAAAGGUUUAGACCAUUGAACGUCUAGUUCUUUUCAGGGGAAAAAAAGGGAAAGGUUUGGACCCGUAUUGGACUCUCUAGCUGGAUUCAUAAGACCAGUCUCAGUGGACUGAGAAGGUUUGAUUAAGAGUUUCAUGAUUAUGGCACCUCAGAAUUUUUGCUGACGUGGCAGUCAGCGGCAAGAUCAUUAUGAGAAGAGAUGAGAUGGAGUUUCAUCAUAAUAUGAGACGAGUUUCGUCCCUGUAGAACCUAGCAGUCACAGUUACCAAGAUUGGCCUGUAUCAUAAAACUAUGCACUGAGAUUGGCACCAGAAUUAAUCUGCAUUUUGCGAACCAGAAAUUAAUCUGGAACCGCUGGGACUCACCGUUGAGGACGUCGAGGUCGAGCUUGUCGACGUCCAAGCCGGCCUCGAAGUGCUCCUGCACCAUAUGGCCCGGCGCAUCGACGUGGGUCCCGGAGUGCACCAGCAUCCGCAGCUCCGACACGUUGUUGAUGGACCCGUUGGCCAUGGACUCCGUGAGCUGGGUCACCGGGCCCAGCCCGUCCCGCCCGGGCGCCGGCAGCUCCGGCCGGUACGCGUGCGUGAUGUCGAUGAUCCGCCCGCCGCCGUGCUCCUCCAGCCUCACCUCCGCGCCGCCAGAGGCCGGGCCGAAGGUGCUGGCGGCGUCCGCGUACGCCGGGUGGGCGGCGCCGCCGCCGGUGGCCCCGGCGACGAGAACGCCGGGCGCCAGUGUCGCGGCGACCGAUAGGAGCAUCAGCAUCAGAGGAGCAGCAGACAUGGCCGGUCGCAGUUCAGAUUGGCAAGAGGAAGAUGAGUGGCAAAUGAGCAGCUGCCCACACCCACGGCUUCUUGGGGACUCUUCAGCGGAAGGACAAACACCGACCGUUUCAUUCUACAGUAUAGUCUUUAACAAAUUGUUGCACACGUCAGAUAUGAUGGCGACAAGCCGAUAAUUAUGUCCUGCAAACCAACCGAUGAGCAGCAACUUGAUGCCACCAAUCGAUAUUCUUUCAGCGACUGCGACGCCGGAGGUCGGAGGAGAAGGGAAGAGGUUUUUUUCUAGUAAAAACUUGUAGCAAUCGUCAGAACAGAUUUGGUGACAACUAACCAGUAGCUAGUUGCCAAAAUUUCAGGCAUGAUCAAAGUUUCAAAAGGUUAUGUGGGGCUCUAAAUUCAAACCUGAACACAACUAUUGCCAUCGUUAUAUUCUGAUAACCUUCUUGGGGGCAGUAGCUUCUGAAUUUUCAGGCUAAUCGUAACUAGAAAUUUGGGAGGAGAGUACAAGCUGCUUGACAACCCUAAGAAAUUUUAAGGCUCUAUUGGGAUUUGACAGGGACCCAAAUCCUUGAGAUCUCAAGUUCGAGCCAGCUGUUCUUACACCACAGACUUACCCACAGCUUACUUUUACAUUACCACGACAGAAAUAUUGCUGUUGCUUUAUUUAUACUCCCUCCAUCCUUUAAUAUAUGACGUUGAUUA
RNAcentral lists this long non-coding RNA (11357 nucleotides) under Setaria viridis. RNAcentral describes it as "long non-coding RNA (SVIR_LNC000105)". Lineage: Eukaryota; Viridiplantae; Streptophyta; Magnoliopsida; Poales; Poaceae. The record is from RNAcentral.